AUUGAACGCUGGCGGCAGGCUUAACACAUGCAAGUCGAGCGGAGAGAGGUAGCUUGCUACUGAUCUUAGCGGCGGACGGGUGAGUAAUGCUUAGGAAUCUGCCUAUUAGUGGGGGACAACAUUUCGAAAGGAAUGCUAAUACCGCAUACGUCCUACGGGAGAAAGCAGGGGAUCUUCGGACCUUGCGCUAAUAGAUGAGCCUAAGUCGGAUUAGCUAGUUGGUGGGGUAAAGGCCUACCAAGGCGACGAUCUGUAGCGGGUCUGAGAGGAUGAUCCGCCACACUGGGACUGAGACACGGCCCAGACUCCUACGGGAGGCAGCAGUGGGGAAUAUUGGACAAUGGGCGGAAGCCUGAUCCAGCCAUGCCGCGUGUGUGAAGAAGGCCUUAUGGUUGCAAAGCACUUUAAGCGAGGAGGAGGCUACUUUAGUUAAUACCUAGAGAUAGUGGACGUUACUCGCAGAAUAAGCACCGGCUAACUCUGUGCCAGCCGCCGCAGUAA
RNAcentral lists this ribosomal RNA (501 nucleotides) under uncultured bacterium. RNAcentral's name for it is "partial 16S ribosomal RNA". It matches the Rfam family "Bacterial small subunit ribosomal RNA", at positions 30 to 523 of the family's 1533-position model. The record is from RNAcentral.